UGCACAAACAUUCAUUGUCGUGGAGAGAGAGGGUCAAAUUAUUGCAUGUGCUGCUGUAUUUCCUUUCUUCAAAGAAAAAUGCGGAGAAGUUGCUGCUAUUGCUGUGUCUCCUGAAUGCCGUGGCCAAAGACAGGGAGACAAACUUCUUGAUUACAUAGAGAGGAAGGCGCAAUCCGUUGGGCUUGAAAUGCUUUUCCUGCUUACAACUCGGACUGCAGAUUGGUUUGUGAGGCGUGAUUUCUCAGAAUGUUCUAUAAAAACCAUACCGGAGGAGAAGAGAAAGAAGAUCAAUACGUCCCGUGGUUCCAAGUAUUAUAUGAAAAAAUUACAGUCGGACAGUAGCGGCAUAGCCAUUGAUCGAUACAACGCCAUUAACAGAUGAGUUAAACUCAUCCAAGAAAUAAUUGUUUAGCUUGCUUCGUUGUCGAGCUUAAUCUCUACGACACAUAUAUUUAGGUGUAUAGAAUGGUUCAUUUGUCAUCAUGUAAGUGUAUAUUAUUGCAGAGCCCAAGGUGGGUUUGGGAGAAAAGAGUGAGAUCCAUGGAGCUUUUAUAUAUAAUCCCCACCCCAACAUUUUCUUCUUGUUAAGGGUCCCUGGGUAUUUUGGGACUUGUAUUACAGGAACAUGUUGUAAAUCGAUCAUGCUUCAUGGUUCAUAUCGCCACUCUUGACUUCCGAUGUUAACAAGUAACGUUUAUUCUCUAAUUUGGUUACAAAGUAAAUGGGGCAUGUUGAGUUA
Molecule: long non-coding RNA, 739 nt
Organism: Diospyros lotus (date-plum)
Lineage: Eukaryota; Viridiplantae; Streptophyta; Magnoliopsida; Ericales; Ebenaceae
Exons: 3
Source: RefSeq, a predicted model, not a curated record